Molecule: long non-coding RNA, 1747 nt
Filed under: Mytilus galloprovincialis (Mediterranean mussel)
Lineage: Eukaryota; Metazoa; Mollusca; Bivalvia; Mytilida; Mytilidae
Source: RNAcentral
AGGUAAUAAAAAUGUCGACAUCAAAGAAACGUUGAGAAAGGUAAAUAUUAACCUGGUCAUCUGGCCAUGGUUGAUUUUUGGUAUCCAGCCAGGUUAUUAGGUACGUGUGAAGUUAAGGAUGACAGUGGUAAUUAAGAAUUCUAGAAUUUCUUCUAAACUUUAACAACAAAAUGUUGAUGUUAUGAUGUUAAUUCAGAAACGCGAGCGAAGACAUUACUUAUUAAAGGUUUAUGAAUAUUCAUUGAUUGAGAUGAUAAACAUUUGAAGACAUUAAAAAAAAAACGCACGUUAAAACAUUAACCCACAGAAAAACUUAUUUUUGAAUAUAAUUUGGUUACUGUCGAAAGGAAUACAUGCACAUAACACUCAGACGGAGAAAGAAGAUAAUUUUUCUCAUGGGUUGGUGAUUUUUUUUAUUAUUAAAUCAUUCUACAUGACAUUCUACAGUGGUUUCUGUAACACUCAGAAACGUGUCCUUCGCCCCAAACGUGUCCGAUUCCCCCAAACAUGUCUAGUUGAAAACUGCGCCAAAGCGUGUCAUUUGUAUAAACGCCCAAACGUGUCCAUUUCUCAACUAACCACCAAACGUGUCCAAUCCCCAAAACGUGUCCAUAUCAAGCGUUAUUUGGUUAUUGCUAUUUCAUUAACGUAUACUAAUUUUACCAUUUCAUUAAAAAUAUACAUAAGCACGUUAGUACUUUUUCAAAACGGAAGAAUUAAACUGGCUUAAAGUGGGGCGUCAUUUCGGCUAUUUCGUUUGUAAAUUGUAAGCAAACAUGUUGAGUUAAACAGUACAGUUAACGGAUCAAAGGGUCCCUUUCUCUGCGAGUUAAAACUUUAAUGUUCUCUCUAAUUAUGCAUGAAAUACUGACAACUGGCCAAUUCGCAAUCAACAGUCUAAAGUUAAUUUAUUCAGUAGAACUGAAAAAAACAUUAAAACUUGUAUGUUUUCUCUAAUUUGCAUGAAAUACUUGCAACUGGACAAUAUGCAACCAGCAGUCUAGAGUUUAUCUUAACAAAAGAACAGUAAAAACAUUAAAACAUGUAUGUUAAAAUGUAAAAAAAAAAAAAAAAAAAAAAAAAAAAAAAAAAACAGGUAGCCUAUGUUCUCUCUAAAUAGAACUGCAAAGACAUUAAAACUUGUAUGUUCUCUCUAAAUAUGCAUGACAUACUUGCAACUGGACAAUACGCGAUCAUCAGUUUAAAGUUUAGUUUAAAGUUAAUGUGUACAGUACAACUGUAAAAACAUUAAAACUUGCAAAACUAUUGUGCGCUCUAAAUAUGCAUAAAGUACUUGCAACUGGACAAUACGUCAUCAACAUUCUAAAGUUUAUUUAUACACUACAAAAUAAAUUUGCAUUUAAAACCGGCGUUGAUCACAUAACAGUAAUAUUCAUAAAAAAAAGAAUCUAUAAAACUUAUGCAUGAAAUAUUUGGCACUGGACGUUAUGUUUCUUAUCGUGUGUCUCUAGUGAUGGUGGAAACUUUAAAAAUUUAUUAAAAACCAGGAUAACAAGUUUAUAAUUUGAUGGGCUUUUGAAAUACACACAAACUAUUGACAAAAGUAAAAAAAAUACUGUUAAAACCCCGCCAUGCAAUAUUCGGAUAAAUAUAAAAGGCAUCAUCGGAGUUUAUAAGUACAAAAUAAUUAUCAAAGUUAACGAUUAAUUCAACUCCAGAACUAUGUGUAUGUUCGCUCUAAACAAAUAUGAAAUACUUGCAACUGGACAAUAAACAACUGCAGUCA